This 874-nucleotide long non-coding RNA is filed under the name Numida meleagris (helmeted guineafowl). RNAcentral describes it as "lncRNA (ENSNMEG00000006369.1)". Lineage: Eukaryota; Metazoa; Chordata; Aves; Galliformes; Numididae. The record is from RNAcentral.
GUUAAUCAGCAUUCCGUGUCCUCCAGCCGAAGUAGGAGUGAGACGUUGAAACCGAAGGUGUGAAUUCCAGCGCUGAUAUCAGUCGAACAUCUCAGCGAUCCUUUCAUCAUUACAAUACUGAAGGACAACCAGAACUACAACAGGAUGAAUGAAUUUGAGUUUAAACUGAUUUCUUCAGGAUAUGAGAACAUAAGGCAAUUUGCAUCAUGACAGGGAAAAUGCUAAGCAAUUGUGCUAUCCUAGAACCAGAAGGAACAGAGGAAAAGGUAGCAAUAUUUAACUUAUUGAAGUCCAUUGAGAUUGUGAAGCAAUAUAGGAGAAAUGAAAAUAAAGAACUCUGCCACAGGCUGUCAAAAAUGACUUUUUUUUUUGAAAAGGCAAACAGCCUUCUUGCUUCUGAUUGCUGUACUGUGUCGGCAGGCAGGAGACAGUGCUUAGAGCAUUCAUUGUCUCCUACUGUUCACAUGUAUGUUCUGAACAGUAGGAAACUCACUCAUUUCCAAUGCACACUUUAUGGUAAAAAGAGGAUUUUGCUCCAUUUUUGUAUUCUUACUCCCAUAAUUUCCUUUCUUAUGAUUUGAAAAAUGUCUAAGCAAAUGUUAGCAAAGGGAUGUUAGUUUUUGUAGUGCAGAUAAAAAGAGAACAGUUUAAAUGGAAAUCAUUGUAGCUCUUCAGCUCACUUUCUUCCCAUUAUAAAACAUGGAAUUGGAAAAAAAUCUUCAGAGAUGAUGGAACACAAAAUAACCAAAGGAACAAAGAGGAAUGAAUGUGCACAGUAUCAGCAGCCCUGAUGCUUCAGAUCUGCAAAUUAACAGCUGUAUUAUGCAUGAAUUAUCAGCACAGCAAGUAAAAUAAACUGCUGAUUACUAUCUCA